CCUACGGGAGGCUGCAGUAGGGAAUAUUGGGCAAUGGAGGAAACUCUGACCCAGCCAUGCCGCGUGCAGGAUGACGGCCUCUGGGUUGUAAACUGCUUUUAUACGGGAAGCGGUACCGUAAGAAUAAGGAUCGGCUAACUCCGUGCCAGCAGCCGCGGUAAUACGGAGGAUCCAAGCGUUGUCCGGAUUUAUUGGGUUUAAAGGGUGCGUAGGCGGAUCUUUAAGUCAGUGGUGAAAGCCUGCAGCUCAACUGUAGAACAGCCAUUGAAACUGAAGAUCUUGAAUAUGGUUAAAGUAGGCGGAAUGUAUCAUGUAGCGGUGAAAUGCUUAGAUAUGAUACAGAACACCGAUAGCGAAGGCAGCUUGCUGACCUUAUUGACGCUGAGGCACGAAAGCGUGGGGAGCAAACAGGAUUAGAUACCCUUGUAGUC
RNAcentral lists this ribosomal RNA (431 nucleotides) under uncultured bacterium. Its description in RNAcentral is "partial 16S ribosomal RNA". It matches the Rfam family "Bacterial small subunit ribosomal RNA", at positions 338 to 795 of the family's 1533-position model. The record is from RNAcentral.